This 292-nucleotide ribosomal RNA is filed under the name uncultured microorganism. Its description in RNAcentral is "partial 16S ribosomal RNA". It matches the Rfam family "Bacterial small subunit ribosomal RNA", at positions 505 to 796 of the family's 1533-position model. The record is from RNAcentral.
GUGCCAGCAGCCGCGGUAAUACAGAGGGUGCGAGCGUUAAUCGGAUUUACUGGGCGUAAAGCGUGCGUAGGCGGCUUUUUAAGUCGGAUGUGAAAUCCCCGAGCUUAACUUGGGAAUUGCAUUCGAUACUGGGAAGCUAGAGUAUGGGAGAGGAUGGUAGAAUUCCAGGUGUAGCGGUGAAAUGCGUAGAGAUCUGGAGGAAUACCGAUGGCGAAGGCAGCCAUCUGGCCCAAUACUGACGCUGAGGUACGAAAGCAUGGGGNGCAAACNGGAUUACAUACCCUUGUAGUUC